This 201-nucleotide microRNA precursor is filed under the name Oryza meridionalis. RNAcentral's name for it is "MIR812 microRNA precursor family". It matches the Rfam family "MIR812 microRNA precursor family". Lineage: Eukaryota; Viridiplantae; Streptophyta; Magnoliopsida; Poales; Poaceae. The record is from Rfam by way of RNAcentral.
ACCUACUCCCUCCGUCUCAUUUUAAGGGCAACUAUCGAUCGUCCGUUUUAUUUUUUUUAUGAUUAGUAUUUUUAUUGUUAUUAGAUGAUAAAACAUGAAUACUACUUUAUGCAUGACUUAUGUUUUUAAAUAUUUUUUUAAAAUAGAGUUUAAAUAAGACAGAUGAUUAAAGUUGGAAAAAAACUUAUGGUUGCGCUUGAA